CUGAUACAGAGUACAAAUAUACAUUAUGCAGUCCAGAGCUGUAAAAGAAGAAAAACACCUUAAAUCAAUUAGUUUUUAUUUUCUCUUUUUUACCAACCAAUAAAAUGUAAAGAUGCCUUCAUAUCUAUCUACAGUUGGGAUAUUUUGUCAAUUCUUAAAAUCUGGAACUUUCCCCCUUUGCCAUCUUCGCUGGCAGAGUAUGUAGACAAGAACUAAAUAAACACAUACAAGGAAUUUGACUGUUUCUUGUUUGCUCUAAAUGUACUUACACAAAAAUAGAAAUAAGCACAGCAAAGAUAAACAUAAAUAUUUUGCUAUUAUGUACACACAAGUAGGUAAAAGAGGUGAUACAUACAUAUAAAUAAACAAUGCAUCAAUGGACAACAAUUUGUGUCUUUGUACAAGUGAGGCUCUUUCUUUAAAUUGCAAACAAAUCAACUGUUGUAUAAAACUCUGAAUUCCUCUUGUUCUUGCCCCAAAACACGUUUUUAGGUAAAAAUAAUAAGAAACUUUACCAACUGGAACAUGGAUUUUCUAAGUCAAUAAUUUCAUACUGCUACAAAAAUUACAUAUUGGUUUAGGAAUAAGAGUAAAACGUUUAAACAAAGUUUUAAAAAACCUUUUAUGUGUGGAGAAAUUCCUCUUAUUCAGACUGACUUUGGCUCUGUGUAAAUAAAGUUUUGUUUUUUCAUUUAUGAACCGUCCCAUCCAAUAUAUCUCAACAGUUUUUUUUUGGUAAGUAAUUUCUAUUUUCUAGUUUAAUGAAAUCAAACUCUUCCUUUAAACUUUUUUACAAACUGAACCAACACGAAGAGGAAGAUCCUGGUAAGAUAACUUUUAUUAUUAUUUAUUUUAAGAUUUAAAAAAAAAUCAUAUUAUGGGACUUUAUAUCUAAAUAUGAAUAUCUAUAAAUAAAUUAAAUAUAUUUAUAUAUCUUUGUUACAGUCGAUGUGUUUUUGUUUUACAUUAAGUGUUUAGGAGUUUUAUUCUGAAAAAGAAAACAUCAGCGUCAUAUUGCGUUGCUUCCGGGAGUGACGCUGAUGUUUAUGAUGUAGCGCAGGCGCUGAUUGUUUGUUUGGCGACAUGUGAGAGAUUUAAAGAGUGAAAACGGAGUUAGAUUUUAGUGAACAUGCUCGUUAAAUGUCAGAUACACCAGCUUGUCUAACGUCACACUCGUGACAGUGACGUUAGACUGAGAAGGAAGAAAAACGCAUCACUAAUUAUCCUCCGUGUGAAACUGCUGUUCUCCUUCCUGGAGCGGGUUCCGUGGCCCCCCGGUCCGCAGCUGCAGGAUCAGCAGGGACCGGAUCUCUGGCUGCAGGCGUUCUGCUGCUGACUGGCUGCCUCUUUGUUUGGGUCUUCAGUAACAUCUGGUUGUCCACGGCGAGUCUGGCGAUCUUCAUGCUGCUUCGUUUCCUGGUUCAGGAGGUUCAGUCGAGGAUCCGCCGCCGCCACGACUACCUGCGAGACCCGGUUUCCCGUAGCGUCUGCAGAUGAGCUGGCAGCCGCCGACCGCGUCGACACGGUCGCCUCUUCUUCAGAAGAGCUCUGAGGAGUGUGGACACAUCAUGUCCGACACGCUGGAUGUCCCUGAACGCCGGUGAAGGACGUGUGGAGGCCAGAGAGGCGGCCGCCGGCCCUGGAGUCGCCACUCAGCCGCACAUCAACCACUUCUUCCUCUUUGAUGGUCUUUGAGCAGCUGGUCAUACAGACGACUCCUCCGCCUGAAGACGCCGGCGAGGUGGUGGAGAUCCGGUUUUCUACGUCUGAGGAGCGGCAACAGAAACGAGCAGGUGCUGAAAAAUCCACUGUGGUAGAUUAAGUUUACCUGUUCUCACCGAUGAACACAGUCUGAAAACAAUACAUGAAGUUAAUGUUUUACUGCCCUUUAAAGAGUUAAAUACAGAAUAAAAUAUUCUCUACAAGCUUGUAACAGCGUAGAAGGAAGGUGAAGGGAGGGCGAGAACUUUAUUAUUUUAGCACGUUCACAGCCUGAAGCCUUCAAAAAGAACAAAAAGUUUUUAUUCUUCAAGUUUUCCUGUACACUGAAAUUCUUACUUUGCUGUCCACAUCAAAUGCCUACAAUAAAAAUGAAUAGAGGUAUAAACAUAUAUAAACAGCUCCACAUGAUAUCGCUCAUUCUUUAAUGUCCUCACUCAGGUUUAAACACACCUGCACAUUCAGUUAUGUACUCAGUGUUCUAGUACAUGUUGAAUACUGAUGCUGUUAAAGACCAAAAUGUUUGUUAUCAAAUGCAGCGUCAGACUUUAAAUUUAACAGCCUGACGGGUGGAUCAGUAGAUAAGAAAAUGAAACCAGACAUUAGCUAGAACACACUGAUCUAACAAGGUGUUGUAUUAGUGUAUAAACCAAAGAAACAUCUUUAUUAGUUUAUUCUUCAAAAGAGAGAUUACUGUACUGGUGUUAAUAAGACUUGCUGUCGAAUGCUUGGUCAAACUAGUUGAAUUAAUUCGAUGUUGGUGACUUCAGUGUAGAGCAGGCUGUUUGCUCAUGGACGGGAUAUUAGUGAUGGCUCAGUCAGUGAGUUGCUGUUGUAACGUCAGCUGACUAAUCGCACAUGAAUUCUAUGUGUGAAUGUGGCAAAUUCUCCUAAAUCAAUGGUUCAAGCAAACAAACAAAUCUGCCUGAAUGACGUAGUUUAUUUUUCCCACUGUGAAAUAUCCUCCUUAGAACACAUAAACAGUCUUUAGUUAUCAAAUUUAAAGGGCUCCUAAUCAAAAAUGUUUAAAACAAGGACAAUAUCCAGAACAAGUGAAGAAAUAUACGUGCAAACUUUUGUAAAAUAAAAAACACAAGUAUUGCUUCUGUUAAAUAUUAUUGCAUCUGUCUGUAGGUGUCAGAACUAGAUUGGGAACAAACGUCAGUAAAUGAUACACAGUGACAGUGAUUUUGCAUAUUUGAGCCCAAACACCUGCACUUGCACCUGGUGAGGUUUCUUUUUUCUAGAUGUGCAGUUUUUAGAUUUACCUUCUUCCUCCCAGGCAGAGACACGACGCAGCGAUGGAUUAUCUAUCUGCACGGUCUUAUCCGUCAGAGUUACUGUACAUUUA
This is a long non-coding RNA of Micropterus salmoides (largemouth bass), 3070 nucleotides long. RefSeq lists it as uncharacterized. The transcript has 5 exons. The record is from RefSeq and is a predicted model, not a curated record. NCBI's taxonomy places the organism in Eukaryota, Metazoa, Chordata, Actinopteri, Centrarchiformes, Centrarchidae.